RNAcentral lists this ribosomal RNA (116 nucleotides) under Nicotiana attenuata. Lineage: Eukaryota; Viridiplantae; Streptophyta; Magnoliopsida; Solanales; Solanaceae. The record is from RNAcentral.
ACUAAUAAUCAUACCAGCACUAAUGCACCAGAUCCCAUCAGAACUCCGAAGUUAAGCGUGCUUGAAUGAGAAUAGUAAUUCUAAUAGUAAUCUUAAUAAUACUAAUACCAAUAGUA